AUACUUACCUGACGGUGAAGCAAACCUGGUCAACAUGGGGCUUCUUCCAGGGUGAGGCUUUUGCAUUGCACUUCGCCUGGGCUGACUCUGGGUUGACUGCGAUUACCGCUAACGUCGGUAACUCGACCGUACACUUUCUGGCUGUGGGGGCCUGCGUUGGCGCUCGCCCCUU
This 172-nucleotide small nuclear RNA is filed under the name Hydra viridissima (green hydra). RNAcentral's name for it is "U1 spliceosomal RNA". It matches the Rfam family "U1 spliceosomal RNA". Rfam says of the family: U1 is a small nuclear RNA (snRNA) component of the spliceosome (involved in pre-mRNA splicing). Its 5' end forms complementary base pairs with the 5' splice junction, thus defining the 5' donor site of an intron. Lineage: Eukaryota; Metazoa; Cnidaria; Hydrozoa; Anthoathecata; Hydridae. The record is from Rfam by way of RNAcentral.